AGAGUUUGAUCAUGGCUCAGGACGAACGCUGGCGGCGUGCUUAACACAUGCAAGUCGAACGGUGAAGGCGGAGCUUGCUCUGCCGGAUCAGUGGCGAACGGGUGAGUAACACGUGAGUAACCUGCCCCUCACUUCGGGAUAACCUCGGGAAAUCGUGGCUAAUACCGGAUAUGAGGCACCGCCGCAUGGCGAGUGCCUGGAAAGAUUUAUCGGUGGGGGAUGGACUCGCGGCCUAUCAGCUUGUUGGUGGGGUAAUGGCCUACCAAGGCGACGACGGGUAGCCGGCCUGAGAGGGCGACCGGCCACACUGGGACUGAGAUACGGCCCAGACUCCUACGGGAGGCAGCAGUGGGGAAUAUUGCACAAUGGGCGCAAGCCUGAUGCAGCGACGCCGCGUGGGGGAUGAAGGCCUUCGGGUUGUAAACCCCUUUCAGCAGGGAAGAAGCGAGAGUGACGGUACCUGCAGAAGAAGCGCCGGCUAACUACGUGCCAGCAGCCGCGGUAAUACGUAGGGCGCAAGCGUUGUCCGGAAUUAUUGGGCGUAAAGAGCUCGUAGGCGGUUUGUCGCGUCUGGUGUGAAAACUCAAGGCUCAACCUUGAGCUUGCACCGGGUACGGGCAGACUAGAGUGCGGUAGGGGUGACUGGAAUUCCUGGUGUAGCGGUGGAAUGCGCAGAUAUCAGGAGGAACACCGAUGGCGAAGGCAGGUCACUGGGCCGCAACUGACGCUGAGGAGCGAAAGCAUGGGGAGCGAACAGGAUUAGAUACCCUGGUAGUCCAUGCCGUAAACGUUGGGCGCUAGGUGUGGGGCCUAUUCCAUGGGUUCCGUGCCGCAGCUAACGCAUUAAGCGCCCCGCCUGGGGAGUACGGCCGCAAGGCUAAAACUCAAAGGAAUUGACGG
RNAcentral lists this ribosomal RNA (900 nucleotides) under uncultured bacterium. Its description in RNAcentral is "bacterial SSU rRNA". It matches the Rfam family "Bacterial small subunit ribosomal RNA", at positions 8 to 916 of the family's 1533-position model. The record is from RNAcentral.